Molecule: ribosomal RNA, 460 nt
Filed under: uncultured bacterium
Lineage: Bacteria
Description: partial 16S ribosomal RNA
Rfam family: Bacterial small subunit ribosomal RNA
Source: RNAcentral
CCUACGGGGGGCAGCAGUGAGGAAUAUUGGUCAAUGGGCGCGAGUCUGAACCAGCCAAGUCGCGUGAGGGAUGAAGGUUCUAUGGAUCGUAAACCUCUUUUAUACGGGAAUAAAGUGUGGGACGUGUCCUAUUUUGUAUGUACCUUAUGAAUAAGGAUCGGCUAACUCCGUGCCAGCAGCCGCGGUAAUACGGAGGAUCCGAGCGUUAUCCGGAUUUAUUGGGUUUAAAGGGUGCGUAGGCGGCCGUUUAAGUCAGCGGUGAAAGCCCGUGGCUCAACCAUGGAAUUGCCGUUGAAACUGGGGGGCUUGAGUAUAUUUGAGGCAGGCGGAAUGCGUGGUGUAGCGGUGAAAUGCUUAGAGAUCACGCAGAACCCCGAUUGCGAAGGCAGCCUGCCAAGCCAUGACUGACGCUGAGGCACGAAAGCGUGGGGAUCAAACAGGAUUAGAUACCCUGGUAGUC